This 374-nucleotide ribosomal RNA is filed under the name uncultured organism. RNAcentral's name for it is "bacterial SSU rRNA". It matches the Rfam family "Bacterial small subunit ribosomal RNA", at positions 526 to 896 of the family's 1533-position model. The record is from RNAcentral.
CGUAGGUGGCAAGCGUUGUCCGGAGUUACUGGGUGUAAAAGGGCGUGUAGGCGGGAAGAUAAGUCAGAUGUGAAAUUCCAUGGCUCAACUGUGGCGCUGCAUCUGAAACUAUUUUUCUUGAGUGAUGGAGAGGAAAGUGGAAUUCCUAGUGUAGCGGUGAAAUGCGUAGAUAUUAGGAGGAACACCAGUGGCGAAGGCGACUUUCUGGACAUUAACUGACGCUGAGGCGCGAAAGCGUGGGGAGCAAACAGGAUUAGAUACCCUGGUAGUCCACGCUGUAAACGAUGGAUACUAGGUGUAGGCGGUGUCGACUCCGUCCGUGCCGAAGCUAACGCAUUAAGCCACCCCGCCUGGGGAGUACGGCCGCAAGGCUA